UACGGAGGGAGCUAGCGUUGUUCGGAAUUACUGGGCGUAAAGCGCACGUAGGCGGCUUUGUAAGUUAGAGGUGAAAGCCCGGAGCUCAACUCCGGAAUUGCCUUUAAGACUGCAUCGCUUGAAUCCGGGAGAGGUGAGUGGAAUUCCGAGUGUAGCGGUGAAAUGCGUAGAUAUCUGGAGGAACACCGGUGGCGAAGGCGGCAUCCUGGACCGGCAUUGACGCUGAGGCGCGAAAGCCAGGGGAGCAAACGGG
Molecule: ribosomal RNA, 253 nt
Filed under: uncultured bacterium
Lineage: Bacteria
Description: partial 16S ribosomal RNA
Rfam family: Bacterial small subunit ribosomal RNA
Source: RNAcentral